This is a long non-coding RNA of Aedes aegypti (yellow fever mosquito), 1433 nucleotides long. RefSeq lists it as uncharacterized. The record is from RefSeq and is a predicted model, not a curated record. NCBI's taxonomy places the organism in Eukaryota, Metazoa, Arthropoda, Insecta, Diptera, Culicidae. The transcript has 2 exons.
UCGAACCCUCUACUAAAACCCCAACUCUAACAACCGACCCCAGUCUAGCAGACAUUUCUGCCAAGCUCCAAAACCUCCAACUACAACAACAGCAAGCGUCAACAUCCUUAGCCGCAUUGGAACAACCAUCACAAUUAUAAAGUGACCGUCAGCAGUAUAAUCGUCAAGCCAACACUCAGCAACCAUAGCCCACCAACUUCCACGAAGUCACCUAGCAACCAACAUUCCUAUCAUAACACGUUGGCACACCUCGCCGAAUCAGCAACACGCGUCGACGACCGGACGACGCGAUCCAGUUACAAUAUUUUUACUUAGCUAGGGCUCUUUCCUCUUCCAAGCUAGGCCUCUGUAACAAUUAAUUCACAAGUAAUAAAUCAUUCUAGUUUCGUUCUCCAUACCGAUCAGUUCGGUCUUUCAGUUUUUUAAAAACCUUUCCAUGUGACUCUGUCACAUAAUUGGCGCAGUCGUUUUCCGAGGGGAUAGUGAUCCCAUGUAGUGUCAACUCCGAAGUCGAUCAAAAAUCACAGUGUGCUGCCGCGAUCAGGAAAACCCGCCAACAAUAAUUAAUUAUUCGUCGCGCGUUCGAAAAUCGCUCUUAUGGUGGUAAGCACCAACGAAGUUAGUACCAGAUUUAAUCCGGAUUUUCAAAAAUCUAGGAUUAAAUUUAGUACUCCGUUUGGUAAGCACCAAAGUCGGUAAUAACUGAAAAGAAUGCAGCCACUUGCAAAAGUUUAAAGUUGUGUGAGUGUGAGAAUGUCUGCACAAAAGGAAAGUUAUUUUAAACCUAUUUUGUUUUAUUCUCACACCUUCGUAAACAAACAAACUCCGAUAGUUUACGAUAUGGAGCCAAUAAAAUUUUAUUUGGCGAAAGUUUGAAAGAAUUUUGUAGAACCAGGACCCAGAGGAACACCAAAAACUCCACACUGCAAGCGACCUUAGAACAUGUUACGGAGUAGAUCCGACGAAUCCACACAUGUCUCCAUCUUUCCAAUGUUUGAUUCCACGCAGUAAACCGAAGUGGCCAGCUUUACCUAUGCCAUGAUGGUGCAUAUUGGUUUUCCAUCCGGAGCAGCUUCCGGAUAUAGUUCUGUUAGUUCAGAAGGAGAUACUCCUAGUUAGCUCAACAUGCCAAGCGAUUUGGUUCUCAAACGUAACAAAAUUGGCACCAUGUAGCGUCCCGAAGCGCUCAAAACAUGAAACUGUGGAAGAAUUUGGUCACCUUCGGUCGUGUCCUCCGCAUUUGAAUCAGAGGUGAUUCUUCAAACUGUAGCAGACCUGAGAGAUGAGGUAUUCAAAAAGAACCUUAAUUAGUGAAACAGGUAUCCCACAAAAGAAUGGUAACGUGACAAUGUGAUUCGCAUCCACGUCAUGUCAGUAAAAUUAUUGGGUACAGUCAACUCUCCCUUACUCGACCUCCGUAUCUCAAUAUCUAG